Molecule: ribosomal RNA, 449 nt
Filed under: uncultured bacterium
Lineage: Bacteria
Description: bacterial SSU rRNA
Rfam family: Bacterial small subunit ribosomal RNA
Source: RNAcentral
AGCGAACGCUGGCGGCAGGCCUAACACAUGCAAGUCGAGCGGCCGUAGCAAUACGGCAGCGGCAGACGGGAGAGUAACACGUGGGAACGUGCCCUUUGGUUCGGAAUAACGCAGGGAAACUUGCGCUAAUACCGGAUAAGCCCUUACGGGGAAAGAUUUAUCGCCAAUGGAGCGGCCCGCGUCUGAUUAGCUAGUUGGUGAGGUAACGGCUCACCAAGGCGACGAUCAGUAGCUGGUCUGAGAGGAUGAUCAGCCUCACUGGGACUGAGACACGGCCCAGACUCCUACGGGAGGCAGCAGUGGGGAAUAUUGGACAAUGGGCGCAAGCCUGAUCCAGCCAUGCCGCGUGGAUGAUGAAGGCCUUAGGGUUGUAAAGUCCUUUCGGCGGGGAAGAUAAUGACGGUACCCGCAUAAGAAGCCCCGGCUAACUUCGUGCCAGCCGCCGCCGU